AUUGAACGCUGGCGGCAGGCCUAACACAUGCAAGUCGAGCGGAGCGGCGGACGGGUGAGUAAUGCCUAGGAAUCUGCCUGGUAGUGGGGGAUAACGUCCGGAAACGGGCGCUAAUACCGCAUACUAUCAGAUGAGCCUAGGUCGGAUUAGCUAGUUGGUGGGGUAAAGGCCUACCAAGGCGACGAUCCCUAGCUGGUCUGAGAGGAUGAUCAGCCACACUGGAACUGAGACACGGUCCAGACUCCUACGGGAGGCAGCAGUGGGGAAUAUUGCACAAUGGGCGCAAGCCUGAUGCAGCCAUGCCGCGUGUAUGAAGAAGGCCUUCGGGUUGUAAAGCACUUUCAGUUGGGAGGCGUUACCAACAGAAUAAGCACCGGCUAACUCCGUGCCAGCAGCCGCGGUAAUUC
RNAcentral lists this ribosomal RNA (407 nucleotides) under uncultured bacterium. Its description in RNAcentral is "partial 16S ribosomal RNA". It matches the Rfam family "Bacterial small subunit ribosomal RNA", at positions 30 to 526 of the family's 1533-position model. The record is from RNAcentral.